RNAcentral lists this transfer RNA (76 nucleotides) under Herminiimonas sp. RNAcentral describes it as "tRNA-Arg". It matches the Rfam family "tRNA". Rfam says of the family: Transfer RNA (tRNA) molecules are approximately 80 nucleotides in length. RNAcentral also lists the same sequence under 1 other name. The record is from RNAcentral. Lineage: Bacteria; Pseudomonadati; Pseudomonadota; Betaproteobacteria; Burkholderiales; Oxalobacteraceae.
GCGGCUGUAGCUCAGUGGAUAGAGUAUUGGCCUCCGAAGCCAAGGGUCGCAGGUCCGAUUCCUGCCAGCCGCACCA